This is an RNA transcript of Cryptomeria japonica (Japanese cedar), 3043 nucleotides long. RefSeq lists it as uncharacterized. The record is from RefSeq and is a predicted model, not a curated record. NCBI's taxonomy places the organism in Eukaryota, Viridiplantae, Streptophyta, Pinopsida, Cupressales, Cupressaceae. The transcript has 8 exons.
GGCCAUACUAAUUGUAGAACCACAUAAAAGCACAUAAGAGCACCUCUACGUUGACAUAAAAUACCCCCGUUUCCUAAAACUUUAUACCCACAGAGUAAUUUAAAACCCUAUUAACAUCUUCUGGUGAAACCCAUUGAAUUUCUGCACAAGAAUUGACGAGAAAACAGUAGCCCGAGUUCGUGUGUUCAUGAUUAUUUCUGGACAUUGCAUUUCCGGCAAAUUUAGCACUGCGAGCACACAACUUCAAUAUUUUUAAGCAAGUCUUUGCACAAAUGCUUAUUUUUAUCUUUGGUUGAGGUUUCUUGAAUGGCAGCCUCAGCUCAAUGGGACACCCAUCCUUUAGCUCUGCGAAUUCAACCAUUAGUUACUGCGCUGAAUAUGUCAUACUGUAGCUGAAAUAGUUGAAAAAAGAAAGAUAAACAGAAUAUAAGGUAGUUGGUUUUUUUGGGGCAACAAUGGCUUUGUCGAAGUUGUGCAAGGCAGGAAUUGGUGCGGCAGCAAUUGCUGGUUAUGGGAUUCAUUUUGCUGAAUAUGUUUAUGCAGAGGGGCCUUUUCAUUUCAAUUCUGCAGUUCCGAAGGAAGAAACCCGCUCCAAAGGAUUCGAUCCCGAGACGCUCGAGAGAGGAGCAAAGGCUCUCAGGGAAAUUAAUAGCUCUUCCCACGCCAAAAGAGUUUUUGAAAUCAUGAGGUAUCAGGAGGAUACAAGGCUGGCUCAGUUGGAAGCAAUGAAGGCAGAGUAUCAAUCACGGCAAGCACAAAUUGAUAUUGAAAGACAACAAGGAUUGUAUGAAGAACAAAGAAAACUUGUCCAACAACAAGCCCAAGCAAAGGCACAGAUGGCUCGCUAUGAGGAUGAGUUGGCAAGAAAGCGAAUGCAGUCGGAACAUGAAGCCCAAAGACAACAAGAUAGAGAGCUUGUAAAAAUGCAAGAGGAAUCAUCAGUGCGGCAAGAACAGAUCAGGCGUGCAACAGAAGAGAAAAUUCAAGCACAACAGCGUCAGACGGAUAAAGAGUGAGCUGAACUAGAUCGUGAGACAUUAAGGGUAAAGGCCAUGGCUGAGGCAGAAGGGCGAGCACAUGAGGCAAAGCUGGCUGAAGAGGUAAAUAAGAGAAUGUUAUUGGAGCGAGCAAAUGCAGAGCGAGAGAAAUGGCUUUCGGCAAUUAAUACAACUUUUGAUCACGUAGGAGGUGGUUUGAGAGCUUUACUGACAGAUCAGAAUAAGUUGGUAAUGACAGUUGGAGGAAUGACAGCUCUAGCAGCAGGCAUUUACACUACAAGAGAAGGUGCUAGAGUUAUUUGGAGCUAUGUUGAUAGAAUGUUGGGUCAACCUUCAUUGAUUCGUGAGUCAUCAAGAGGAAAAUAUCCAUGGUCGGGAUUGAUUUCACGCAGCAGGAGUUUGAUUUCUAGGCCUGGUAACACAUCUGGAGGGAAUGGUCCCUUAAAAAAUGGAAACGGUUUCGGUGAUGUUAUUCUUCAUCCUUCAUUACAGAAGAGAAUUGAACAACUUGGUAAAGCAACUGCAAAUACAAAGUCUCAUGAAGCUCCUUUUCGCAACAUGCUCUUCUAUGGACCACCUGGGACAGGAAAAACUAUGGCUGCUAGAGAGUUGGCUUACAAAUCGGGCUUGGAGUAUGCAAUGAUGACUGGUGGAGAUGUGGCUCCAUUGGGUUCACAGGCCGUAACAAAAAUUCAUCAGCUAUUCGACUGGGCAAAAAAGUCUAAGAAAGGCUUGUUACUCUUUAUUGAUGAAGCAGAUGCCUUUUUGUGCGAACGUAAUAGCACAUACAUGAGUGAAGCUCAGCGAAGUGCCUUGAAUGCACUUUUGUUCCGUACUGGAGAUCAGUCUAGGGAUAUUGUUCUUGUUCUUGCGACAAACAGACCUGGUGAUCUUGAUGCAGCUGUUACAGACCGUAUUGAUGAAGUUCUUGAAUUUCCUCUUCCUGGACUAGAAGAGCGAUAUAAGCUAAUAAAGCUAUACUUGAAUAAAUAUAUCGCAGGGUCAGGUGAUAGGAAAACUGGCUGGGGAUCCUACUUUAAGGGGGAACAACAAAAAAUAGAGUUGAAGGAUAUAUCUGAUGAUUUGAUUCACGAGGCUGCAAAUAAAACUGAAGGAUUUUCCGGACGAGAGAUUGCAAAGAUGAUGGCUGGUGUGCAAGCAGCUGUUUAUGGUAGCAAGGACUGUGUCCUCGAUUCUAACCUUUUUAGGGAAAUAGUUGAUUACAAAGUUGCUGAACAUCAGCAGCGCAGAAAGCACCAGAACUAUUAAUAAUUUAUAGAAUCUUCAUUACUUUUUGACAGCCAAAACUGUUGUCAGUGAUUGCCAAUGAGGCCAUUUGAGUUUUCACGUUGGGAGAUAUAAUGUGGUUGGUCUCACAUCUGCUAUCGGCUUUGGAAGUGAGUGAAUGUGACAAAGGUAUUUGUUCUCACUGUUUAAAAAGAUUUAGAACAGUGGAAUUUUCAAAAGUUUGUUUCAUCUUAUUCCAGUUAUAUGGAAUCAGAAAGUAUCCUAAUUCACUGCGCAAGAUGCUUAUCAUCCCAUUCAAAAUUGAACAUUACUUUGUUUAUUGUGGGAGACGGUUUACUACCAUGCAGACUAUGAUCCAUGGACCAUGGGCUUUUGUUUCAGAUGUUCUUUCCCAAGCAUCAGAAGUGCUUAGAAAAGGAAGUUCCAAUAAAGUAGCAUCCAUCUUAAGCGGUGCUUUGUAAUAUCAGAGUAACCCAUUUGUUUUUGGAAAAAAUUGUUAGUUGCUUUAAAAUCCAGGGAAGACACAAAUGAGAAAUGUUGAGUAGUGGCUUUGGAACAGUUACAUCAAACAGAAAAGCAAAGCAAAUUUCAUCAUAUUUUUGGGUUUUUAAACAUUUUUGAAAUCUAGUAAGAAUCUAUGGGUCUGGUACAAAUUCUGGGAUGUUUUAUAUUGAUUUAACCAUGCAGAGAUGAAUGUUAUUUUGAAAUAUCUUUGGUUGACUGGGCGUGAUCUCUUCAUAUAUGGCGUUUAAGGUUCACUCUGAGGAUUAUCAAUUAAAAUUGAAAUUGUUCACAUC